This 67-nucleotide transfer RNA is filed under the name Bombus pascuorum. RNAcentral describes it as "tRNA-Gly". The record is from RNAcentral. RNAcentral also lists the same sequence under 1 other name. Lineage: Eukaryota; Metazoa; Arthropoda; Insecta; Hymenoptera; Apidae.
AAAUAUAUAGUAUAAAAAUUACAUUUAAUUUCCAAUUAAAAAAUUUAAUUAAAAAUUAAUAUAUUUA